Molecule: ribosomal RNA, 230 nt
Filed under: uncultured microorganism
Description: partial 16S ribosomal RNA
Rfam family: Bacterial small subunit ribosomal RNA
Source: RNAcentral
UACGUAUGGGGCGAGCGUUGUCCGGAAUUAUUGGGCGUAAAGGGUACGUAGGCGGUUUUUUAAGUCAGGUGUGAAAGCGUGAGGCUUAACCUCAUUAAGCACUUGAAACUGGAAGACUUGAGUGAAGGAGAGGAAAGUGGAAUUCCUAGUGUAGCGGUGAAAUGCGUAGAUAUUAGGAGGAAUACCGGUGGCGAAGGCGACUUUCUGGACUUUUACUGACGCUCAGGUAC